Long non-coding RNA from Bactrocera tryoni, 428 nucleotides. RefSeq lists it as uncharacterized. The record is from RefSeq and is a predicted model, not a curated record. NCBI's taxonomy places the organism in Eukaryota, Metazoa, Arthropoda, Insecta, Diptera, Tephritidae. The transcript is spliced from 2 exons.
AUGACAACCAGCUGAUGCGAAAUGUAUUUGUUUGUAAACAAAAGCUUUUUCCAUAUUGAAAGUGCUUUCGAAGCAAUUUCUGGUAUUAUUGCAGAUGUAAUGGAAGACAUGUACCUAAGCUGUGUCUCAACUUAUUGCUACUGAUAGGCUCUUGCAUUACUAAAGAGCGAUGCAAGUAGUUUUUUAUGAGUUAUUUCCAGGCCAGUGACAUGUUAAGAAUGACAGUACUUGAAAUAACAGGACAUACAAGCUAUCUAUAAUAGCAGGACGACUAAGAAACGUCAAAAGCAAGGCACAAUGAAACAAUGGAACAUCUCUUGUACACUGGUAUCGCAUUGACAAAGCAACAUUUUAAUCAUUUGGGGGCUCAAGUGUAUAAGUUUCUAGAAGAGGUAGCGUUGCCGAGGCCACAGAAUCUGCUGAAACUC